Acomys russatus (golden spiny mouse) is the source of this 421-nucleotide long non-coding RNA. RefSeq lists it as uncharacterized. The record is from RefSeq and is a predicted model, not a curated record. The transcript is spliced from 4 exons. Lineage: Eukaryota; Metazoa; Chordata; Mammalia; Rodentia; Muridae.
GGAUGAUUGACAGGUUAGCCCUUCAGUGAGGAUGGCUGACUGCUUAGAUGAUGAUUGACAGGUUAGCCCUUCAGUGAGGAUGGAUGACUGGCUAGAUGAUGAUUGACAGGUUAGCCCUUCAGUGAGGAUGGAUGACUGGCUAGAUGAUGAUUGACAGGUUAGCCCUUCAGGGAGGAUGGCUGACUGGCUAGAUGAUUGACAGGUUAGCCCUUCAGUGAGGAUGGCUGACUGGCUAGAUGAUUGACAGGUUAGCCCUUCAGUGAGGAUGGCUGACUGCUUAGAUGAUGAUUGGCAGGUUAGCCCUUCAGGGAGGAUGGCUGACUGGUUAGCUCUUCAAUGAUGUUGAGAGGUUAGAGUGUGGCAAGACUAGAGCCUAAUUAUUUGGUCCAUCUCUAUCCCUUUACCAGCCAUUUGUUAUUUU